Molecule: RNA transcript, 4926 nt
Organism: Thamnophis elegans (Western terrestrial garter snake)
Lineage: Eukaryota; Metazoa; Chordata; Lepidosauria; Squamata; Natricidae
Gene: PRKAG3
Gene name: protein kinase AMP-activated non-catalytic subunit gamma 3
Exons: 13
Source: RefSeq, a predicted model, not a curated record
UGGUGCGAAAGCUACUUCCUCAGCAGCAGCAAGAGGGGGUGCCUGGAGUAUUUCCUGCUGAACGUCUGACUAAUACCUAUAGAUGCAGAGAAUCUGUUUAAAAAAGAGAGAGAGAGAGCCGGGUGCCUUCGGCUCGGGACAGGAUGGCUUCUAGCUGAGGACGAUUCCUGGCACCACUGCAGCUGUCACUCCUCUCUUCCCCCUUCCCCGCCCGCAGCAGACGUGAUACUAAAGCCGCCUGGGCCAGCUGCCUUAAAUAGAAGCUGCCGGCAUGGAGCAAGAGACAGCGGCCCAGGCCUUGGAGCAGGUGCCAUCAUUGAACAAUGGCCUCCAGCAUCAGGAAGAAACAGGCUCCGCCUUGUCUCUGAACAUUGAGAAAUCUGCUUUGAAAGCCAAUGUUGUUGUACAGAAAGCCAAGGAUUUGACUGCCAGUGACAAAGAAGUGAACUUGAUUAUGACAAAUGUAGUGGCAGAUGGCAGAACUGAGAGGUGGAAUCCAGAGUCAACUGUGUUUGAUGCUGAGACUGCAACACACAUUGGCAAAGUGACAGCUGCAGAUGCCGUUGCUGCUGAAUUUGAUUUCAAGUCAACCCAUUCAGAGACCAAAGAGUUGGAUACAGCCCACAGCAACAGUGAAGCAGGCCAUGACAUGAUGUCCCAAGGUAGGAUUAAGGAUUGGAAUACCACAGCCAGCACACGGAUUUCAGAAGAUACGGGUCAGUUUAACAAAGGCACAGUCCUGGGUCCUAUCACAGGAAUAACAUCAGAGGACACAAAUCUCGAACAGGGCAAACAGGAAGAUGAUGAUGAUGUCAUUUCCCUUGACUGUGAAAUUCUUGGGUUUGGUGGUCCUAAUAUUGAGUUCCUGGGCCCAGAUGCUGAAAUCUAUAUGCAGUUCAUGCGGAGUCAUCGCUGUUAUGAUGCUAUUCCCACCAGUUCCAAACUGGUUGUGUUUGAGACCACUCUGCAGAUUAAAAAGGCAUUCUUGGCCAUGGUGGCUAAUGGGGUACGAGCCGCUCCGCUUUGGGACAGCAAGCAGCAGUGCUUUGUGGGUAUGCUGACCAUCACUGAUUUUAUUAAUAUCUUACAUCGCUAUUAUCGAUCUCCUCUGGUCCAGAUAUAUGAGAUUGAGGGGCACAAAAUUGAAACUUGGAGAGAGGUGUAUUUGCAAGGUUCCUUCAAGCCUUUGGUGCACAUUUCUCCAAACCACAGCCUCUUUGAUGCAGUUUAUUCCUUGAUUAAGAAUAAGAUCCACCGGCUGCCUGUGAUUGAUCCCAUCUCGGGGAACGCCCUGCACAUCCUGACCCACAAGCGUAUCCUCAAAUUUCUGCAUAUCUUUGGAGCCAUGCUUCCAAAGCCACGCUUCCUGCAGAAAAACAUCCAUGAACUGGGCAUUGGUACUUUUCGUGACAUUGCUAUAGUGAUAGACUCAGCUCCUGUCUAUACAGCUCUGGAGAUUUUUGUGGACCGCAGAGUCUCGGCAUUGCCUGUGGUUAAUGAAAAAGGAACGGUGGUUGGCCUCUAUUCCCGCUUUGAUGUGAUUCAUUUGGCUGCUCAGAAGUCUUACAACAACCUGGACAUUAGUGUGGGGGAAGCCCUGAAACAGCGCUCGGUCUGCCUAGAAGGGGUCCUUACAUGCCAUCCCCAUGAAACUCUAGAAGACAUCAUUGAUCGCAUUGUCAAAGAGCAGGUCCAUCGCCUGGUUCUGGUGGAUAAGAAGAACACUCCGCGGGGGAUCGUGUCCCUCUCUGACAUUCUCCAAGCCUUGGUGCUCACACCCGCAGGUAUCGAUGCCCUAAAAUCUUAGCUGGUCGACGCUCCAUCCUUCUUCCAUUUGUACCCUCCAAUUCCUCCACUUCUCUCCAGCUCAGGCAUCGACCGCUAUUCCCUCUGACAGUGUGCAGGACUAUUUGCUACUUGAUCUACUGCUACUGCAUCUAUGGCUUGUGGGGGCCAGGAAGAGAAGCUCUAACAGCGAUGAAGAAGGCCUAGCAUCUCAAGAGCCCUGACUGCCAGUUCCUUCCUCUCAGUGAACCACGAACGUUGAUAGGAGAUCUGAGGAGGACAAGUGCUCUAACCUCAGAAUUGUAAAUGGAGGUGUCACUUCUUCGCCCCAUAAACUAAUAUACAGGAACUAGUCUGCUACAAGUGGUGGGGGGUGGGGGGAAAGGAGAGGUGUGUGUGUCUUGAACAAUGCGUCCAUUGCUUGCCUCCUCUUCUUGGCCUCACUUACUGGAAGAGAUUGUAUUUGAAAAUCCAACGUGCUUCAGGGCCUCUUUUGCUUCAGCUGGGAAAAAGAUUACUAGAGGCCAUGGCUACUGCUUCAGGAUAAAGCCUAAUCCAGAAGGUUAUUUACCUUAGCUGCAGGAGGUGGAUUAAUUCUAAGUUAAAGACAGAUUCCACACCUUGAAAAGGACUAGGAUGAGGUACUUUAGAAAAACCUGCAUGUUUUUUUCUUAGUUCUUAAAGUAGGCUCAUGUCUUAUUUGUUAUUUCAUUGCACUUCCAAGGCACAAGACCAGUUUAGGAUAAUUGUUAUGAGAUAGACAGUUCCCUUAAGUCUAAAGUUUUAGGCCCCUUUUCAAUGUGUUUUGCCCUGUUCUGAAACAUAAUAAUUCUGUCUCAUGAACAGGAGGCAGGGAGAGAUGGUUCUACUGGAAAGAUUCAUUUUCCCCCUUUAAGGCUGCAGUAUAAAUCAGGGCUUUGCUUUUGUGCAACUGUAGCACACAGUAAGAAAGAUUGUGCUAGAAGGGACACAACUUAAUGUUGGAGAGCUUCCCUCUAGGUCAGAAUACAAUGUUUGCACUUAUUGCUAUCACAUUUGGGGAAAAAUCUUUCACACGGAUACCCCUUUUAUAUAAAUCAUACUUCCAUUUUCUAGCAAGUGGCGCUUGGUGAUUUAAGCAAGGACAAAUGGCUGUCUGCCUGGAAUGCUACUACAGGAGAUUUAGCUUUGAUAUAGAUAGUCCUUGACUUAUGACUAAUGGAGCCUGCCAAUUACUGUUGUGAAUCGUGAUGGUUGUAAAAUAGGUCAUCAUGUGACCAACUUGAUUUUACAAUUUUGUUUUUGCACUGGCCAUCAAGCAAACACCAUGGUUGUUAAGUAAACCCAUGGUUCACUAUGGUGCAUUUUUGCUGAAAACUGGAACUAAAUGCUGGUUUUUGGCAAAAACAUCAUAAAUUGUGGCCAUGUGACUGCAGGACACUGCAAAUGCCCAUAAAUAUGGGCCAUUUUCCAAAUGUCCAAAAUAGUUGUAUGACCAUCGGGAGGGCAAUCACCAGAACUUUGGAACUGGGUUGUAAGUAACCCUGAGGAAGUCUGUUGUAACUUCAGUCAUGAUGUGACCAGUUGCAAGUCAAAGAUUACCUGUAAUCCUGAAGGACCCUUUUAAAUCUUCUCCAAUUUAGUACUGUCCCAAUCCACUCCUUUUCCUAAACCAUUUUGGCUUAACCCCUGCUUAUUUCCUAAACUACAGUGAGGCAAGACCAACAAGCCUAAAUCUUACUGCUGGAGGUGUGAGCGCUGCACAGAGGCACUCUUCAAGCAUAUGAGAAGCAGGACUAAACAGCCCUUAAAGCAUUUAGAUGGAGAGAACUUUCUGGCUAAUAAAAGGUGAAAUUAUGAAGGUGUGGACUGGAGUCUAGUUAUCAGUUCAAUACCACUGCUAAGGCACAUUUGGGUCGGCCCUACUCCUAUGGAGAGAGUUGAGCAUGCAAUGAGUGACAAUAGCAACACUCAAGAGUUGUCUAUAAAGAAUAUAUAAAUUGUCUAUAAAGAAUAUAAACUAUGAUUAUUUCAGUCUCCUGGGCAGGUAUGUACCUGCAUAACGUCCAAAAGCCUUUCUUUAAAGGAGAAUAAUCUAUAAAUAAUCCAUAACUGAAGAAUGGCUUCAGUGAACACUUUUUGAGUUCUCCAGACUUCUUUUCGCAUCAUUUGGGGCAAUAGCAGAAAAGCUCUCAUAUAACAACUGUAGUCAUGAGAUUUGAAAUUAGUGGCUUUAUCUUAAUGCCAUACAGUACCUCAAAUUAAUUGCUCUUUCAAGAUUGACAUCCUGGGCUAGCCUGAAGGAUAUGCAUUUAAUCCAAGGCAAAAUUCAGUUUGAAGGUCCUGUCUGAUUUUAGUUUUCAGAAAUGGCUGCUUUAUCCCAUUGUACAUAAGAUGUCCUCUGAUGCUUAUUCCAAUAAGGCCCCUACAAUAAGGUCUAGUUUAGCUCAGUUCUUGGCUAGAUUAAUCCCACAAAAUUUUCAUAUUCCAUAUCAUCAACAAUAUGGAUUUGCCAUGAUAACGUUUUUCCAGUUCCCUAUUUGAUCUGAAGCCCAGUCAUUUCCUGAUGUCCCCAGCUGAGACUUGUGCAAUAAUUGGGAGAUAAUUCUAUUUUCAGAUUGUUUUCCUUAUUCCCUGCUUUUGUAACACAGGAUUAAGAGUACUAGAAAAUCUGAGGACAUAUUAUGCACCCUUGUUGCUCCAAAGAAAAUAUAUUGCUCAACUGUGGAUUUUGAUAUUCUUCCCAGACAUCCCCCAUCGUUCAUGAGCAUUAGCAUUUUUAUUUUUCUACAGCAUAUCCCCUGAAAAGAAAAUCUACUUAUUCUAAAGAGAGUCAAAUGCUUCCUUUUGUCCAAGAUUAGUUGCUAGCACAAAUCUGCAAUAAAACUGAUCUUUCUCUGAAAAAGCUGUGCCUUCAAAAAAUUUCUUGCCUUCAGUUUACAAGGAUCACUAAUUUUUCUCUCUUCAUCCACAUUCCCAACACCAAAUAAUAUUAUCAAAUUCUGCUAUAAAGAUAUGAUAAUAGGACCAAAAUGUACAAAAUUGAGCAUAUUUUUGUUCACCAGAUUCCACCUAUUGAAUCUGCUGAUUGCUAUAAGUAAAUUGAUAAAAAAAACAGAUCUGAACAUCUUCAAUUCACCCACAAAUCCACAAUGGAGAGAU